CCACUUAGACCCUCUCUGCCAAUAACAGCUAGGUUCCCUCCCCACUCAGACCCUCUCUGCCAAUAACAGCUAGGUUCCCUCCCCACUCAGACCCUCUCUGCCAAUAACAGCUAGGUUCCCUCCCUACUCAGAUCCUCUCUGCCAAUAACAACUAGGUUCCCUCCCCACUCAGACCCUCUCUGCCAAUAACAACUAGGUUCCCUCCCCACUCAGACCCUCUCUGCCAAUAACAGCUAGGUUCCCUCCCCACUCAGACCCUCUCUGCCAAUAACAGCUAGGUUCCCUCCCCACUCAGACCCUCUCUGCCAAUAACAACUAGGUUCCCUCCCCACUCAGACCCUCUCUGCCAAUAACAGCUAGGUUCCCUCCCUACUCAGAUCCUCUCUGCCAAUAACAACUAGGUUCCCUCCCCACUCAGACCCUCUCUGCCAAUAACAACUAGGUUCCCUCCCCACUCAGACCCUCUCUGCCAAUAACAGCUAGGUUCCCUCCCCACUCAGACCCUCUCUGCCAAUAACAGCUAGGUUCCCUCCCCACUCAGACCCUCUCUGCCAAUAACAGCUAGGUUCCCUCCCCACUCAGACCCUCUCUACCAAUAACA
This is a long non-coding RNA of Oncorhynchus nerka (sockeye salmon), 601 nucleotides long. RefSeq lists it as uncharacterized. The record is from RefSeq and is a predicted model, not a curated record. NCBI's taxonomy places the organism in Eukaryota, Metazoa, Chordata, Actinopteri, Salmoniformes, Salmonidae. The transcript has 5 exons.